ACCACCACCACCAUACGUGUACUCAUCACCUCCACCACCGGUAAAGUCACCGCCACCACCAUACGUGUACUCAUCACCUCCCCCACCCGUGAAGUCACCGCCACCACCGUAUGUGUACUCAUCACCUCCACCACCCGUGAAGUCACCGCCACCACCUUAUGUGUACUCAUCACCUCCACCACCUGUAAAGUCACCGCCACCACCAUAUGUGUACUCAUCACCUCCACCACCUGUGAAGUCACCACCACCACCAUACGUCUACUCAUCACCUCCACCACCCGUAAAAUCACCGCCACCACCAUAUGUCUACUCAUCACCUCCACCACCCGUAAAAUCUCCGCCACCACCAUACGUCUACUCAUCACCUCCACCACCCGUAAAGUCACCUCCACCACCGGCAUACAUCUACGCUUCCCCACCUCCUCCAACC
RNAcentral lists this long non-coding RNA (430 nucleotides) under Erythranthe guttata (spotted monkey flower). RNAcentral's name for it is "long non-coding RNA (EGUT_LNC002544)". Lineage: Eukaryota; Viridiplantae; Streptophyta; Magnoliopsida; Lamiales; Phrymaceae. The record is from RNAcentral.